ACAGUGGCGCAGCAAAAAAAUCAAUGCAGGCAGUUCUUGUAUUGACAAAAAAACACUUAGCAGUAACAAGAGAGACUUGUCCUGUAAAUAUUUGCAGGCACUUUGAAGAGAUAAAAUUAUUCAUAACUAUAGGUCUCAGUUUUGUAAAUUGCAAGUCAUGCAUGUAAUGGUGUUUUAAAUUGAGAUCAGUUGGUGAUCAUUUGAGCUUUGAGCCUUUUGUACAAAUUAAAGGCUGAAACACAACUGGUUGUUACAAACAGAGGCUUUGACAAUGCCACUUGCAUGGCCCAAGCACUAAGGACAUGUCAACCCCUAAGUGUUCAUACCAGUGAGACCCCUGCUGAAAAACCUUGGAAUUGAUGACGCCACUGACCUAGACUUAAGGGCUAUGCACACCGGGAGCGAAGCAAACGACACGAAUACAAAAAAAAACAAACAAAAAAACACAACUGUAGCUAGUCAUGAACGUACUGUCUGUCUGCUUUUGCUCCUUUGUGGAGGCGAAAUAAAAUAAAUAAAACAAAGAAAUAGUCUGGGUAACCCACACACUAACAGUGAAUGUAUAUAUGUGAUCUGGUUUAACAUGUAAAUUAUUCAAAAUGAAUACAUCUACACAUAUUUCUUUGUAAAUACUGAGAAACUUAGUUUAAUAUACUUUUUUUUAUUGAUUUUCAGUUUUAAUAAAUUCUUCAUUUAGGUUGUGAAUGUGAUUAUUAUUAUUGGUCAACAUCCCCGUCACUUUGAAUAAAAUUAAAGUGAAAUAAAGAGAUAGACAUACCA
Long non-coding RNA from Acipenser ruthenus (sterlet), 780 nucleotides. RefSeq lists it as uncharacterized. NCBI's taxonomy places the organism in Eukaryota, Metazoa, Chordata, Actinopteri, Acipenseriformes, Acipenseridae. The record is from RefSeq and is a predicted model, not a curated record. The transcript is spliced from 3 exons.